CCUGCACAAAAGAGGGGUAAUAGAAGGAGAAGCUGGGAGGCUCUAAAGAUAGACUUUGCCUGCUCUUCAAAUUUUGCUCAAUUCUCACUUCUGAAUCCAUAACAUAUAUCUUGAUGGCCGGAGAGUAUAGAUAAUGCGGUUAUGAAUCAGGCACCAGGUCCCAAAUGCUGUGACCACCUUCUCCCUUAGUAACAUCUGGACACCGGUAAUGGGACUCCAAGUCUCUCUGCAGGUUCCAGAUAUGGCUGCUUAUGGUCCAGCUACCUAUGACACAAAGACCAGUUUUCUGACUGUGAUAGUGUGAUUUAUAUAAAAAAUAUAUAUAUACUUGAUUGUUCAGAUGAUUAAAUAUUUAUUUCUCAUAUGUAUUUGGUCUUUGUCUAAAGUUCCUGCCUCAAAGCUCCCAAACCCUUGGAUUUCCUAAAUGCUGAGAGUUUAGAGGUGUCCCUUAUGUUAAUAAGGUGAGUUUUAGAAA
This 475-nucleotide long non-coding RNA is filed under the name Mustela putorius furo (domestic ferret). Its description in RNAcentral is "lncRNA (ENSMPUG00000030549.1)". The record is from RNAcentral. Lineage: Eukaryota; Metazoa; Chordata; Mammalia; Carnivora; Mustelidae.